UUUUUUUUUUAAUUUAACAUUUAAUGGAUACUAGUAUUUACACACAACAUAUCAGUUUUCAGUAUGAGUUUUCAAUCUCAUCAAUUGGUAAUCAAAUGCCAUAUACAAAUAGUGCCCUGUUUCUUUGUUGUUGUUUUUUUAUUGAUUAUAUUUUUUUAUUGUAUAGUUUAUAAAAAGAUGUCGAGCUUUCAUUCAUUUAUUGUUGGCUGAUUAUACUGUUUAUGUAGGCAAGUUGAACUCUAGAUGCUUUGUCAACUCACCAUUUAGAAGCGAUUUGAUUUGGAGAGCUAAGUUCAUAGAGCGAAGUAUUUUGUUGUUUUCUUUCGGUUUUAUUGAAGAAAUGGUUUCAAGUAGCCCAUGUGCCUGCAUUCACACACGAAUAUACAAUCCUUUGGAGUCUCUGUAAUGUUACGAGAGCUGAAAGAGAUUUGAUUCUAUUGUACCCAAUGUUAAAGUUAUGUACUCGUAUUUGAUAUAAUAUACAAUGUGGCUCGCACUUAGUCAACUCGUAGCAGACGUUGACAGCUAGUCAUUGUUGACUGUCACACCUGGUUUCAUUAAGAAGACUCAUGUCCACACAAUUAUUGUGUGUCUGUAU
Molecule: non-coding RNA, 598 nt
Organism: Biomphalaria pfeifferi
Lineage: Eukaryota; Metazoa; Mollusca; Gastropoda; Planorbidae
Source: the annotation of a GenBank genome assembly